This 708-nucleotide ribosomal RNA is filed under the name uncultured Verrucomicrobiota bacterium. Its description in RNAcentral is "bacterial SSU rRNA". It matches the Rfam family "Bacterial small subunit ribosomal RNA", at positions 627 to 1330 of the family's 1533-position model. Lineage: Bacteria; Pseudomonadati; Verrucomicrobiota. The record is from RNAcentral.
CCGAUACUGCGGUGCUUGAGAAAUGAAGAGGAGUCUAGAAUUUUCGGUGUAGCAAUGAAAUGCGUAGAUAUCGAAAGGAAUACCAAAGGCGAAGGCAGGACUCUGGGCAUUUUCUGACGCUGAUGCACGAAGGCCAGGGUAGCGAACGGGAUUAGAUACCCCGGUAGUCCUGGCAGUAAACGGUGCACGUUUGGUGUGGGGGGAUUCGACCCCUUCCGCGCCGGAGCUAACGCGUUAAACGUGCCGCCUGGGAAGUACGGUCGCAAGAUUAAAACUCAAAGAAAUUGACGGGGACCCGCACAAGCGGUGGAGUAUGUGGCUUAAUUCGAUGCAACGCGAAGAACCUUACCUGGGUUUGACAUGCACUGUGUCCCCGAUGAAAGUCGGGUAGCAUAGCAAUAUGCGCUUUGCACAGGUGCUGCAUGGCUGUCGUCAGCUCGUGUCGUGAGAUGUUGGGUUAAGUCCCGCAACGAGCGCAACCCCCGUGAUUUGUUGCCACCUGGUUUUCCAGAGCACUCGAAUCAGACUGCCUCGAUCAACGAGGAGGAAGGUGGGGACGACGUCAAGUCCGUAUGGCCCUUACACCCAGGGCUGCACACGUAUUACAAUGCUCAGUACAAUGUGAACCGAUACCGCGAGGUGGAGGAAAUCCAUAGAAACUGGGCUCAGUUCAGAUUGUAGUAUGCAAUUCGACUACAUGAAGACGUG